UUUUUGUGUUAUGAAGAUGGUGAAAAUCCAUCGCUGUGCCCGCAACUGUAAAUGAAGUGAUAUUCAGUUUUCCGAUAAAUAUCGCCUCAAAGUCAGAUAGCUAACCAAAAA
This 111-nucleotide non-coding RNA is filed under the name Colwellia sp. Lineage: Bacteria; Pseudomonadati; Pseudomonadota; Gammaproteobacteria; Alteromonadales; Colwelliaceae. RNAcentral also lists the same sequence under 1 other name. The record is from RNAcentral.